This is an RNA transcript of Mugil cephalus (flathead mullet), 1800 nucleotides long. It is a transcript of the gene named beta-1,3-galactosyltransferase 2-like, with no coding region annotated. The transcript has 3 exons. The record is from RefSeq and is a predicted model, not a curated record. NCBI's taxonomy places the organism in Eukaryota, Metazoa, Chordata, Actinopteri, Mugiliformes, Mugilidae.
GCAAUUUCAUGAAGCUGCGCGCGACCAUACACAUCCCUAGUCUUUACAGUCUGCUCCUCCUCCUCCCUCCCCCUCCGUUUUUUUUUCUUUUUUUUUCCGAGAGGAAAACGUGGUGCGUGGAAGUUCUCCUAUAACCGUCACUUGAAUUAUCAACUGUUGGGUUGGCUUGUUUAGGAAGUAUAAAGGAAAGAAAGAAGGAAGGCUCGCGCCAGUCAAGAUGGAGAGUCGCACAGGUGUGAAAGAACCGAAAAGGCCACUUGUCUGGAGCUCGAGUCACCAAAAGAGCACUUUGUUUCAAUCCUGGUUCCAGUUCUUGCUCAUGCUUUCUAUGGCGCUCUUUAUUUUGGUUUACACCAUUACCGACAGCUCUCUGUCGUUGUGGGAGAACGUUUCACUCUCUCAGCACUUCCAGAGGUUUUUCAACCAAACCCAUCAAGUUAUUAAACCGGCUUAUCGUGCCUAUCCAAGACACAGGAAUUCUGUAAAUGAAAUAACAGAAACCACAAAGUCGCCCACUGAACGACCUGUGGGUGUGCAAUACCACAACACCUAUCCACGCAACUACCAUUUUAUUAUGGAUAAUCCAGAGGCAUGCAAAGACAAGACCCCUUUCCUGGUCCUAAUGGUUCCAGUGGAGCCAAAAAAUGUAGCAGCUCGGAAUGCAAUCCGGCAGACGUGGGGCAACGAAAGUCUGGUGCAGGGUGAGGUGGUAGUCACUCUGUUCAUGUUGGGUUUAUCUGAAGGAACUGAUCUUGAAAAGAUCCGACAGGAGAAUCUGGAGCACCGUGACCUGAUCCUGAGUGACUUCCGUGACACGUACCUCAAUCUGACCAUCAAAACCAUGGUGAUCAUGGACUGGUUGACCACACGCUGCUCUACAGCUGCCUAUGCCAUGAAGGUUGACUCAGACUUGUUCCUGAACAUUGACAAUCUCGUGCUCAUGCUACAGAAGCCUGACAUACCGAAGCAGAACUACCUGACAGGGAUGCUAAUGUGGAACAGGCCAGUUGUCCGUUCAAAGAACUCAAAGUGGUAUGUCUCUGAGGAGUCGUACCCGGAGCCUGUGUACCCGACCUACACUCUGGGAAUGGGUUACAUCUUUUCCAAUGAUCUUCCAGAGAAAUUUGUGGAGGUCUCCAAAUCAGUCAAACCCUUUAACAUAGAGGACGCUUACAUCGGAAUGUGCAUGAAGAAGCUAGGACUCAAACCUACAUCACCUCCAAACCCCUCCCAGUUCAGAGCCUAUAACACAAAAUAUAAUCGCUGUGAAUACUCAAAGAUCAUCACCUACAUUCUUGGUUCUUCAAAAGAGUUGGUGGACUAUUGGACAGACCUCAAGAAGCCUGGACCUCCUUGUUAAGACAAGCAUUUAAGAUGUAUGGUGGCAGGGAUUCAGUGUGGGGUUGACGGUCUUGGGGAUGCCUGUUGGUAAAGAAACUAAAGUGCUGCACUGUACAAAUGAUACAGUCCACUUAGGUUCAGCCAAGCUAAACCAAGCUAAACUGGCUGGACAGUCCUUCACGCUACAGAUGGACAAGGACACAGACUAACCCACGAGGUUAGAUAAAGUGACAGAGCCAGUCACCUGAUCUCAAUCAGAAGACGAAACUAAAGACAGAGUAAGGACAGCUGCAGUAAAAGCACCACAAAGGAGCAAUUAUUAUUUAUUCAUGAUUAGUUUAACUGUCCAAUGACUUUUGAGCUACUGAAAAUGGGGGACUGUAGCUUUAGCAUGUUUUGCUAAACAGUUAAACAAUAAAACAUUUUCAAACAUGUUGCUAACUUUUCUCUUUUCUUUUU